AGGGCAAGCGCUGGGGAGAGUCAGCUCAGGAGACCACAGACCUCACUGCUAUUAGACUCUCUCAUCUCAGAACUCCUGCUGCUUGGAGUCCGAACGCAUGUUCACUCUGCCUUGAAGCAACAGCUACUCUCUAAGCCUCGUCUCCAUACAACUCUUCAUGACAGGGACUUUUCCCUGACUUCUUAUAUAUCCCCUCUGCCCAUCAGCAGCUGGGAGAUGCCAUUUACACAGAGAGAAGUAUAACUAAUGCAUGGCCAUCUUCAACUGACUGGCUGACUUCAGCUGCGGGCACCCCCCAUGCCCAUCCUGACCCCAGUGCCCACACCUCCAGAGGACCCAGGCACAAAACCCUCAUCCCAUCACCUUCUCGCCCAUAAGCCCCAGGGGCCCAGGGUCUCCAGUCGGUCCACUGCGUCCCUUUGGCCCCUCAGGACCAUCCUCUCCCCUGGAACCAGGGACUCCAACCUCGCCCUGUGUGAGAGGGAAGGACAGGGGUCAGGCUCCCAAGAGAACACAGCACUGGAACUGCAGAGUCUGGAGACUCAGGAGAAUAAACUGUUGCUUGGGGUCUCCAGAGUGGAAGCUCAGUAGGACACGGAAUUGGGGCCAGUGUGGAAUCUCUACUCACCCUGUCACCUUUCACGCCUAUGUCACCUUUGAACCCUGGAAAGCCAUCCUCGCCCUGAGAAAGAUAGAGCAGGUUCCAAAACCCAAGAGACAACUCACUGGGAGCAUGAGAGAUGUGCCAGGAGGACCAGGAGCCCCAUCUGAUCCAGGGAGCCCUGCUCGGCCAGGAGGGCCCUGGAGUGGGAAGAGAAUGCAAAAUAUGGGGUGACAGAUAAGGGAACAUCAAGAUCUUAGCACGAUUUUGAAACAUCCUCUUCAACAGAA
Macaca mulatta (Rhesus monkey) is the source of this 891-nucleotide non-coding RNA. The record is from RefSeq and is a predicted model, not a curated record. Lineage: Eukaryota; Metazoa; Chordata; Mammalia; Primates; Cercopithecidae.